Molecule: ribosomal RNA, 669 nt
Filed under: uncultured Serratia sp.
Lineage: Bacteria; Pseudomonadati; Pseudomonadota; Gammaproteobacteria; Enterobacterales; Yersiniaceae
Description: bacterial SSU rRNA
Rfam family: Bacterial small subunit ribosomal RNA
Source: RNAcentral
CGGAGCUAACGCGUUAAAUCGACCGCCUGGGGAGUACGGCCGCAAGGUUAAAACUCAAAUGAAUUGACGGGGGCCCGCACAAGCGGUGGAGCAUGUGGUUUAUUUCGAUGCAACGCGAAGAACCUUACCUACUCUUGACAUCCAGAGAACUUUCCAGAGAUGGAUUGGUGCCUUCGGGAACUCUGAGACAGGUGCUGCAUGGCUGUCGUCAGCUCGUGUUGUGAAAUGUUGGGUUAAGUCCCGCAACGAGCGCAACCCUUAUCCUUUGUUGCCAGCGGUUCGGCCGGGAACUCAAAGGAGACUGCCAGUGAUAAACUGGAGGAAGGUGGGGAUGACGUCAAGUCAUCAUGGCCCUUACGAGUAGGGCUACACACGUGCUACAAUGGCAUAUACAAAGAGAAGCGACCUCGCGAGAGCAAGCGGACCUCAUAAAGUAUGUCGUAGUCCGGAUUGGAGUCUGCAACUCGACUCCAUGAAGUCGGAAUCGCUAGUAAUCGUAGAUCAGAAUGCUACGGUGAAUACGUUCCCGGGCCUUGUACACACCGCCCGUCACACCAUGGGAGUGGGUUGCAAAAGAAGUAGGUAGCUUAACCUUCGGGAGGGCGCUUACCACUUUGUGAUUCAUGACUGGGGUGAAGUCGUAACAAGGUAACCAAGGGCGAAUUCCAG